UACGAAGGGGGCUAGCGUUGCUCGGAAUCACUGGGCUUAAAGCGUGUGUAGGCGGGUCGUUAAGUACCUUGUGAAAUCCCAUGGCUCAACCAUGGAACUGCUGGGCAUACUGGCGAUCUUGUGCCACCUAGGGGCGAGCGGAACAGAUGGUGGAGCGGUGAAAUGCGUAGAUAUCAUCUGGAACGCCAAUGGUGAAAACAGCUCGCUGGGGGUGUGCAGACGCUGAGACACGAAAGCCAGGGGAGCGAACGGG
This 253-nucleotide ribosomal RNA is filed under the name uncultured bacterium. Its description in RNAcentral is "partial 16S ribosomal RNA". It matches the Rfam family "Bacterial small subunit ribosomal RNA", at positions 524 to 776 of the family's 1533-position model. The record is from RNAcentral.